GAUCUGCUCAGAACGAACGCUGGCGGCAGGCUUAACACAUGCAAGUUGAACGGGAUUUGUGUGGUGCUUGCACCAUAUAAUGAGAGUAGCGCACUGGUGAGUAACACGUGGGAACGUGCCUUUUAGUGGGGGAUAACAUCUGGAAACGGAUGCUAAUACCGCAUACGCCCUGAGGGGGAAAGAUUUAUUGCUAAGAGGUCGGCCCGCGGUAGAUUAGGCAGUUGGUGGGGUAAAGGCCUACCAAACCUACGAU
This 253-nucleotide ribosomal RNA is filed under the name uncultured bacterium. RNAcentral describes it as "partial 16S ribosomal RNA". It matches the Rfam family "Bacterial small subunit ribosomal RNA", at positions 15 to 280 of the family's 1533-position model. The record is from RNAcentral.